Molecule: ribosomal RNA, 459 nt
Filed under: uncultured bacterium
Lineage: Bacteria
Description: partial 16S ribosomal RNA
Rfam family: Bacterial small subunit ribosomal RNA
Source: RNAcentral
CCUACGGGGGGCAGCAGUGAGGAAUAUUGGUCAAUGGGCGCGAGCCUGAACCAGCCAAGUCGCGUGAGUGAAGACGGUCCUAUGGAUUGUAAACCUCUUCUGUCGGGGAGCAAAAGACGCCACGCGUGGCGUUCCGAGAGUACCCGAAGAAAAAGCAUCGGCUAACUCCGUGCCAGCAGCCGCGGUACUACGGAGGAUGCGAGCGUGAUUCGGAUUGAUUGGGUUUAAAGGGUGCGCAGGCGGAAGAUCAAGUCAGCGGUAAAAUUGAGAGGCUGAACCUCUUCGAGCCGUUGAAACUGGUUAUCUUGAGUGAGGGAGAAGUAUGCGGAAUGCGUGGUGUAGCGGUGAAAUGCAUAGAGAUCACGAAGAACUCCGAUUGCGAAGGCAGCAUACCGGCGCUCAACUGACGCUCAUGCACGAAAGUGUGGGUAUCGAACAGGAUUAGAUACCCUUGUAGUC